RNAcentral lists this long non-coding RNA (1436 nucleotides) under Brassica napus (rape). RNAcentral's name for it is "long non-coding RNA (BNAP_LNC014528)". The record is from RNAcentral. Lineage: Eukaryota; Viridiplantae; Streptophyta; Magnoliopsida; Brassicales; Brassicaceae.
CAAAUCUUAAGGGAAGGCCACGCACAUCCGCAAGUGAAAGGAAUGGUGACAUGGGCAGGUUAUAAUCCAAAAGGUUGCUAUCGAAUGUGCCUCACUGAUGGCAACUUCAGGAACCUACCCACCGGAGACGUUGUGGACAAACUUCUGCGAGAGUGGGGAGGGCUUAGUGGGCAAACCACAGGUUUAACUGAUGCUGAUGGAUUCUUUGAAGCUUCACUCUUCCAUGGUGACUACAAUCUCGAUAUUUCCCACCCUCUCACCAAUUCCACAGCUUCUCACAGCUUUAAGUUGGCUUCUGAGGACUCCAACCCAUCUCCUUCAAUUGUCUUUCGAGUUUGAGACGCUAAGUUUACAACUACUUUGUAAUGGAGUAGUUUGAUUUUUAAUUUUAGUCUUGUGUAAGGAAACUCCAGAGGGUUAUUAUUAUUCAUAAACACCAAUUAGGUUGGUUUACUAAAGUUUAAGCCCUUGAUAACAUCUAUCAAUCAAUAAUAUAUACUUAUAAGCAAUUCCAAUAUUUAACCGAUUUAAGUUUUUUUUUUGUCAUCAACUUAUAAAGAUUCAUACUGACUCUGAUCCAACAUCAAUACUAUUAAAAUAGAAGUAACUUUAUCUAUUUAAAAAUAUUCUAGGUGUAACCAUUACAUUUAACUAGCUUUCAUGGCUGGGUCUAUGUAAAAAUAUUUUUUUUACGAAUUUGGAGGGUUAAUUUUUUUUUUUUUGGGCCUAUUUGUAUGUAAUUUUUUUCAAAAACUUUAGGGGCCUGUUGCGAAUGUUUCACCCAGCAUGGCUCAGAGCCGACCCUGAUAAGAACUUUUUAAAAUUUAGAAGCUAAUGCAAAUGUUUCAUCCGGUUGUGUCCAGAACCAACACUGCCAUUUUGCUCCUAUUUGUCUGAUGUUCGUGCUUCUUGCAGGCCAAUUAUUUCGAGCAAAUCUUAAGGGAAGGCCACGCACAUCCGCAAGUGAAAGGAAUGGUGACAUGGGCAGGUUAUAAUCCAAAAGGUUGCUAUCGAAUGUGCCUCACUGAUGGCAACUUCAGGAACCUACCCACCGGAGACGUUGUGGACAAACUUCUGCGAGAGUGGGGAGGGCUUAGUGGGCAAACCACAGGUUUAACUGAUGCUGAUGGAUUCUUUGAAGCUUCACUCUUCCAUGGUGACUACAAUCUCGAUAUUUCCCACCCUCUCACCAAUUCCACAGCUUCUCACAGCUUUAAGUUGGCUUCUGAGGACUCCAACCCAUCUCCUUCAAUUGUCUUUCGAGUUUGAGACGCUAAGUUUACAACUACUUUGUAAUGGAGUAGUUUGAUUUUUAAUUUUAGUCUUGUGUAAGGAAACUCCAGAGGGUUAUUAUUAUUCAUAAACACCAAUUAGGUUGGUUUACUAAAGUUUAAGCCCUUGAUAACAUCUAUCAAUCAAUAAUAUAUACUUAUAAG